Molecule: non-coding RNA, 1934 nt
Organism: Rattus norvegicus (Norway rat)
Lineage: Eukaryota; Metazoa; Chordata; Mammalia; Rodentia; Muridae
Source: RefSeq, a predicted model, not a curated record
UUGGGGUAAAGAAAUGUAUGUACAUGGCCAUCCAUUCUUAAAACUGAGAGGCAGUGUGGGAGUGUGUGUGUCUUAGGGUUUUACUGCUAUGAGCAGACCAUGACCAAGGCAAGUCUGAUAAGGACAUCAUUUAAUUGGGGCUGGCUUACAGGUUCAGAGGUUCAGUCCAUUUUUAUCAGGGCAGGAAGCGUGGCAGCAUCCAGGCAGGCAUGGUGUAGACAAAAGUGAGAGUUCUACAUCUUCAUCUGAAGGCUGCUAGUGGAAGACUGACUUCCAGGCAACUUGGGUGAAGGUCUAAAGCCCAUGUCCACAGUGACACACCUACGCCAACAAGGCCACACCUCCUAAUAGUGCCACUCCCUGGGCUAAGCAUAUGCAAACCAUCACAGAGGAGUUUUACUGGGAGGUCCACGUGGAUCUACAGGGACCUAAUGGUGAGUCUGGGAGACACAGAGAUCUCACUGAAGACAAGUGUAUGGACCACCAAGUCCAAGUAGAGACCAAUCAAGAUGAUGACGCCCGUCUGGUCGCUGAGAGUCCUCGAUGCUGCUGGGUCCCCUGAGCUCGACAUUCACAUACUUGCCCUCACUGCAGGCAUGAACCCCAGUCUUCCAUCUGCCUUCCCAAAUCAGUAGAACAUUUUCCUCAUGCCAGGUCUUCUUACUACGUAAAGAUUAUCUCUAGUACUUUCUCAAGACACCAUGGAAACUCAGGUCCCACAGACUCAACUGUUGGGCUCUGCCUUCUUGGUGUUCCCUAAUGAAGACCUAAAGAAAAGGUCCAGACCUUGACAUGGUGAGAGACAGGACUGAACAUACACAGUAAAACAGACUGACAGACAGAGACAAAAGAGAGCCUUCCAGAUCUCCCCAGAGUAAGACCUCGUUCAUUCUGAAGACCAACAGAUGUAAGAACUUUUCAUCUUGCUAAGGUCACGGUGUCAUGUAUGUUCAUAUUUGUUGGUAUAUCAUUCUAUGCUAAGACAGGCUGAGCUUAUGCUGAUCUUAGAAUUCCCUCAAAUAAUUGAGUAACAAGACUUGUAGCCAUUUUUACUGUGGGUUUAAAGAAAAAAAUGUAUAUAUAUAUUGGUACACCUACUUUAAAAAUAUAUAUGCGUGUGUGUAAAUGUGUUUGGGGAUCUAUUAAAAGACCCGAUAAGUACAUAACAUAUAAACUAAGGUACUUGUACCUUCUUAGGAUCUAGUUAUAUGGUAUCCUUGGGUCAAUUAAAUAUUACAUAAAAUGUUAUUUAUCUAUAUUAAACAAUAUUCACUGGGAUCAUAAGAUAAGGAUUUUAUUAGGCUAUAAAGUUUAGUGUUUGACAUAUAGAUUUUGAUGGUGAUUUCCUUCCAUAUAAUUUUAUUUUAUGGUUUAGUAAGCACAGGUAACCAAAAGUAAUAAGAAAUAUAAGGGUUUGUCUUAAUCAGAGUACCUCUAAGUAAUGUAAAUUAUAAAUUUUUAUUAGGUUAAUUGCCUUGAGUUUUUAUGAAUAUUCUUACUAUAUGAGUAUUAAAUGUAAGAUUUUAUUAAGUCUGUGAUACAUGUAAAAUUGUGUGUGCAUAUGCAUGUACACACGUGUGUGUGCCAGAGAUUUUUAUAUUAAAUUUCCUUUUCAGCGGAGACGACAUCUAGGCCUUUUUGCUAAGAACAGGGAAAAAUUACAGGAGCUCCGACCCUAACAAGUAGCAACAUUCAAAGCCUAGGGGAACCAGGCUCGGUUUGCAGCACCCACGUGGCAACCUUCCUCAACUCCAGUUCAGAAGGAUCUGAUGCCCUCUCCUGGCCUCUGUGGGCACUGUAUGCCCAUGGUACACAGACAGUGCCAGCAGAUACCCACACUCAAAGAUAAAAACAAGUAAAUGACAUCCUACAUUUUCAAGAUACCAUUUAACUUAUAAAAGUACUAAUAUAUUAAACUCACUGUUGACAAAUUU